AGGACGAGCGCUGGCGGCGUGCUUAACACAUGCAAGUCGAACGAGGCCCUGCCUUCGGGCAGGUGACCUAGUGGCGAACGGGUGAGUAACACGUGGGCAACCUACCCUCAGCUCUGGGGUAACCCCGGGAAACCGGAGCUAAUACCGGAUACGACCUGGAACGACAUCGUUCCUGGUGGAAAGUUUUUCGGCUGAGGAUGGGCCCGCGGCCUAUCAGCUUGUUGGUGGGGUAAUGGCCUACCAAGGCGACGACGGGUA
Molecule: ribosomal RNA, 258 nt
Filed under: uncultured bacterium
Lineage: Bacteria
Description: partial small subunit ribosomal RNA
Rfam family: Bacterial small subunit ribosomal RNA
Source: RNAcentral